AUUGAACGCUGGCGGCAUGCUUUACACAUGCAAGUCGAACGGUAACAGGCCGCAAGGUGCUGACGAGUGGCGAACGGGUGAUUAAUGCAUCGGAACGUGCCCAGUCGUGGGGGAUAACUACUCGAAAGAGUAGCUAAUACCGCAUACGAUCUAUGGAUGAAAGCGGGGGACCGUAAGGCCUCGCGCGAUUGGAGCGGCCGAUGUCAGAUUAGGUAGUUGGUGGGGUAAAGGCUCACCAAGCCAACGAUCUGUAGCUGGUCUGAGAGGACAACCAGCCACACUGGGACUGAGACACGGCCCAGACUCCUACGGGAGGCAGCAGUGGGGAAUUUUGGACAAUGGGCGCAAGCCUGAUCCAGCAAUGCCGCGUGCAGGAAGAAGGCCUUCGGGUUGUAAACUGCUUUUGUACGGAACGAAACGGCUCUGGUUAAUACCCGGGGCUAAUGACGGUACCGUAAGAAUAAGCACCGGCUAACUACGU
RNAcentral lists this ribosomal RNA (481 nucleotides) under uncultured bacterium. RNAcentral's name for it is "partial 16S ribosomal RNA". It matches the Rfam family "Bacterial small subunit ribosomal RNA", at positions 30 to 506 of the family's 1533-position model. The record is from RNAcentral.